UAACCUGCCCAAGAGAUCGGGAUAACACCUGGAAACAGAUGCUAAUACCGGAUAACAACAGAUGAUGCCUAUCAACUGUUUAAAAGAUGGUUCUGCUAUCACUAUUGGAUGGACCUGCGGUGCAUUAGCUAGUUGGUAGGGUAACGGCCUACCAAGGCGAUGAUGCAUAGCCGAGUUGAGAGACUGAUCGGCCACAUUGGGACUGAGACACGGCCCAAACUCCUACGGGAGGCAGCAGUG
This 240-nucleotide ribosomal RNA is filed under the name uncultured Lactobacillus sp. RNAcentral describes it as "partial 16S ribosomal RNA". It matches the Rfam family "Bacterial small subunit ribosomal RNA", at positions 122 to 356 of the family's 1533-position model. The record is from RNAcentral. Lineage: Bacteria; Bacillati; Bacillota; Bacilli; Lactobacillales; Lactobacillaceae.